AUAUACUGCAUUAUAUAUUGCUAUAUCAAGCCAGUCAACCAUAAUAUGUGUCACAGCCGUCAUCCGCUAUGAUCGUCAAGCACUUUUAGCCAUUCAAGAGCACAUGAAUACAGCGUGUGUUACCUGGGCCGCAUAUGAGGAGCGCUUUCCUCCACCUGUUGAGUGUGAGGCGUCAUCUUUGGAGUGCCUACUGGUAACCAAGCGUCGUGCCAGGAGAAGGAAGAGGGGCUCGCGGGCUGGAGUACAGUCCAGGCGGAGGAAGCUGAGGGGUUGCAUGUCCUGGGUCACCUGGUCCGGAUCCGCUGGUGAUCUGCGUUGUUUACGCAGGAUCCCUGUCCACGAACCCGGUGUGGACGCGGCCCUCACGCCACCGGCAUCUUGCUCCCCGCUUCUGUGGCUGCAGACUAAUCGUACCUUUCCAGCUCAACCCGCCCGGCACCCGCUCCUGCACCGGCGUGAGCGAGUCCUGCGGGCAGUCACUGUGGAGGAUACCGCCCGGGUUGCCUCGAAGAGCCGUGCGGGUCUGCGCACAUCUCCAGCUGAGCGCGCGCAGCCGAUACGCUUUGCUCUCCUAAACGCACGCUCCAUUGCGAACAAGACGCACUUUCUGAGUGAUUUAUUCUCAGACAAAGACCUGGAUUUCAUGGCCCUGACUGAGACUUGGCAGAAAGAGCGGGAAUUUGCCUAUUUGAAUGAAGUUUGUCCUCCAAACUGCUCCGUGUUUGGGACUCCGCGGAUUGCUCGGCGAGGAGGCGGUCUUGCGCUGAUCCACAAGGAUUACUUUCCGUGCAGGCAGAUGAAGCCGGGGAUUUACAAUUCGUUCGAGCUUCAGUUGACAAAGGUUUGUAACUGACUGACAGUCUGCGUCUCCUCCUGUGGCCUCACUCCCCCCCACCCCACCGCCCCGUACAGAUUCCUUCUACCGUCCCGCCUGGGGUUCGACUCCAACACGUUGUGCCUGCAUCAGUGAUUUUCCGGCCUCCUUUUAUGGAUGCAUCACUGACGUUGGUACCGGUCAUGACUUGAAGUGCAGCGAAAAACUCCUGCACUGUUAGAUGGAUGAAGCUGAAGGCCUUGACACACGUCCCAUUCUGACGCCGGAGCUCCACCUAACCCAAGGUAAGGAUGUACAUUUAUUUAAAAGACGAUUAUGAAUAUUAAUUCAUUUGUAUAGUUGAUAUGUUGCAGGAAAAAAGACUGUCAGGUGCAUUGCAUGUACGAUUUAACCUCACCUGUGUGAAGAGCCCCGUCCUGAUCGAGAACUUCAACACAUCCGGUGAAAGCUCUUCCUCCAAAAACAGGAUCUUGUGUUCCUCUAAACCUUUCCAAGCGAGUCGGCUGAGCUCACACAACUUGGAUUGUUGCAGUCUGAGAGAGCUGCGUGUAGAAACAGAAAACAAAUACAGUUCUUUUGAAAUCCUACCAACAGCUGCAGGAGACAAGUGGAGAAUUCAAACAAAAGUAAACGGGAACAUUAAGACAUAAAACUAGCUUAUAAUGCAGUUAUAUCAGAGUACAUUUUUGUGCCAUCAAACUAACAUUUUAAAGAUUUUUUUUUGUGCUGACUGCAUUAGACAUAUAUUUUUCUUGGUCAUGCUAGAUUCCACACAGAUUUUGAACACAUUUCUAAUCAGUCUUCACCUCUGGGAGAAUCUGGAAGAGUUGGGCUGGUCUUCUCCUUGGGAACUGCAACGGGCCAGAAAGGCGCUGAGCAGGGUGAGGUAGAUUUGGGUAAGCGUGUUGGGAACUUCUGACGUAGUUUGAAAAAGCUCAUCUCCUCCGUUGGUUCCAUUUCCCAGUAUAUCUGUGCUCCUUUCUGUGUGUGCAUCUUUUUCUGUUGUUACUUUGUGAUCGGGUGGGAUCUGCGCUCCUCCGUCUGCUCCUUUUUCCGUUUCCCCGAUUCUGCUGCUUCUCACUGCUUGUCUCCUUUCUCCAAGUAGUAAAUAAUCCAGACAGAUGCAGCAGAUGUUGCACAGGGCCGGGAGGGAAGACAUGCUGAGGAGGUGUCGGCUGGAGAAAAGAAGAUCUGCUGCCUUCUCUCCGAGAGCUUUGUCUGAGUGAAAACAGGUGAGACUAUGGCUUCACGGUCAAAGAAGACAACUAUGACUGGGGAAGCACGAGGUCGCAGUGAUGUUGUUUGUUGUCCACGUACUCCCGGAUCUCUUGGUGGUUCCAUCCCAGCAGCUGCCCCACUUUGUCGGAGACGCCGUCCAAAUCCACAACGUCACGCAGCCGACAGGUGACCAGCACCGUGCUUCCUGGAAGGAUCUGGCGAUUCAGCAGCCCUGAGAUGAGGUCUGCCACUGGCAGAGAGUUCUCCAGGCCCGGCGUUCCUCUGUGCGGGUCUGCUCUGCUGAGUUUUCCCUGAAACUCGUCGUAGCCGUCCAACACCCAACAGCUCUGCUCUGGAUUGGAGAGGAGGCGGGGGGUAAUGUUGGAACAGCAGCUCCGACAGAGAGAGGGGGCGGAGCAACAGGUUGAGCUGACGAAACUCAAGCAGCACAAAAAGAAUUUUAAGGCCGGAUGCUCUUCUGGAGGGUGAAGAGCCUCACUGAGGGGCCCUCAGUGACUCAACAUCCUGCUGUGCAACGGGAGAAAGCAGAAGUCGUCCUCACCUGGUGUUAGGCCUCCUCUGUCUGCUG
Molecule: long non-coding RNA, 2642 nt
Organism: Salarias fasciatus (jewelled blenny)
Lineage: Eukaryota; Metazoa; Chordata; Actinopteri; Blenniiformes; Blenniidae
Exons: 7
Source: RefSeq, a predicted model, not a curated record